UAACAGGAAACGUGCCGGAUGUCUGGAG
RNAcentral lists this non-coding RNA (28 nucleotides) under Mus musculus (house mouse). Lineage: Eukaryota; Metazoa; Chordata; Mammalia; Rodentia; Muridae. The record is from RNAcentral.